ACCCACUCUAGUGCUUCUUCCACGGACAGACACGCAAAUUAAGCGUUUUAUAGCCCACCGUUUCGCAUUUCCAUUCAACUCCCAGCAGACACGUGCUUCACACGUCACACACCACCUUCCCCUAAGUAACCCACUUCUUCCUGACCCGUAAAUCACUGAGGCCUCAAUUUAAGAAUAUCUUUUCUUACUGCACCCCGUGUUUCCUCCUUAUACUCCCAUCUUUUUAAAUACUCA
Molecule: small RNA, 234 nt
Filed under: Vigna angularis var. angularis
Lineage: Eukaryota; Viridiplantae; Streptophyta; Magnoliopsida; Fabales; Fabaceae
Description: Non-protein coding transcript
Source: RNAcentral